This 565-nucleotide ribosomal RNA is filed under the name uncultured bacterium. RNAcentral describes it as "bacterial SSU rRNA". It matches the Rfam family "Bacterial small subunit ribosomal RNA", at positions 338 to 916 of the family's 1533-position model. The record is from RNAcentral.
CCUACGGGAGGCAGCAGUGGGGAAUUUUCCGCAAUGGGCGAAAGCCUGACGGAGCAGUACCGCGUGAGGGAAGACUGCCUAUGGGUUGUAAACCUCUUUUUUCAGGGAGGAAUCAAUGACGUGUACCUGAAGAAUAAGCAUCGGCUAACUCCGUGCCAGCAGCCGCGGUAAGACGGAGGAUGCAAGUGUUAUCCGGAAUCACUGGGCGUAAAGCGUCUGUAGGUUGUUGUUUAAGUCAACUGUUAAAUCUUGAGGCUCAACUUCAAAAUCGCAGUCGAAACUAUUCAACUUGAGUAUAGUAGGGGUAAAGGGAAUUUCCAGUGGAGCGGUGAAAUGCGUAGAUAUUGGAAAGAACACCGAUGGCGAAGGCACUUUACUGGGCUAUUACUGACACUCAGAGACGAAAGCUAGGGUAGCAAAUGGGAUUAGAUACCCCAGUAGUCCUAGCCGUAAACAAUGGAUACUAGAUGUUGAACAGAUCGACCUGUGCAGUAUCAAAGCUAACGCGUUAAGUAUCCCGCCUGGGAAGUAUGCUCGCAAGAGUGAAACUCAAAGGAAUUGACGG